Molecule: ribosomal RNA, 433 nt
Filed under: Reticulitermes lucifugus
Lineage: Eukaryota; Metazoa; Arthropoda; Insecta; Blattodea; Rhinotermitidae
Description: partial 12S ribosomal RNA
Source: RNAcentral
CGACUUAUCUCAUUAACAAAUAAAAACGAGAGCGACGGGCGAUGUGUACAUAUCUCAGAACCAAUUAUCACAAAAACAAUCUUCAAAACAUUACAAUCAAAUCCAAUUUCAUGCCAGUAAUUAAAACCGACAAUCCAAACAAACAAAUAACAAUGUAACCCACCAAUACACUUAGAGAAAGCUGCACCUUGACCUGAAAUUAAACCAAAUAAAGAAACCAGAAAAUUAAAUAACUCUAAAAAGAUAAUCAAUAAACGGCGGUAUACAAACCAUUAAACAACUAAGUAAGGUCCAACGCGGACUAUCGAUAACGAGACAGGUUCCUCUGAACGGAAUAAGAUACCGCCAAAUUCUUUAAGUUUCAAGAACAUAACUAAUACUACUCAGGCAAAACAUUAACAUCCAAAAAUAAUAGGGUAUCUAAUCCUAGUUU